UACGAAGGGGGCUAGCGUUGCUCGGAAUCACUGGGCGUAAGGGGUGCGUAGGCGGGUCUUUAAGUCAGGGGUGAAAUCCUGGAGCUCAACUCCAGAACUGCCUUUGAUACUGAGGAUCUUGAGUUCGGGAGAGGUGAGUGGAACUGCGAGUGUAGAGGUGAAAUUCGUAGAUAUUCGCAAGAACACCAGUGGCGAAGGCGGCUCACUGGCCCGAUACAGACGCUGAGGCACGAAAGCGUGGGGAGCAAACAGG
This 253-nucleotide ribosomal RNA is filed under the name uncultured bacterium. RNAcentral's name for it is "partial 16S ribosomal RNA". It matches the Rfam family "Bacterial small subunit ribosomal RNA", at positions 524 to 776 of the family's 1533-position model. The record is from RNAcentral.